GGGUCACUUCUAGCCUCUCCGGUUCCAGUCCCUGGAGCUCUGUGCCUUUGGGUCCUGGUGAGCUCUUGUUGAUUGCAGUGGGAGAUGGGGAGAAUUGCCUUCA
This is a microRNA precursor of Gorilla gorilla gorilla (western lowland gorilla), 103 nucleotides long. The record is from Ensembl. NCBI's taxonomy places the organism in Eukaryota, Metazoa, Chordata, Mammalia, Primates, Hominidae.